GACGAACGCUGGCGGCGUGCUUAACACAUGCAAGUCGAACGGGCCCGCCCCUGUUUUUGGGGGUGGGUUGAGUGGCGAACGGGUGAGUAUCACGUGAGUAACCUGCCCCCUGCUCCUGGAUAACUGCUUGAAAGGGCGGCUAAUACGGGGUGUGCCGGCUGGUCCGCAUGGGCCUGGUCGGGAUAGUUUCAUCUUCGGGUGUUUCGGUGGGGGAUGGGCUCGCGGCCUAUCAGCUUGUUGGUGGGGUGAUGGCCCACCAAGGCGGUGACGGGUAGCCGGCCUGAGAGGGUGGGCGGCCACACUGGGACUGAGACACGGCCCAGACGCCGGCGGGAGGCAGCAGUGGGGGGUAUUGCACAAUGGGCGGAAGCCUGAGGCAGCGACGUCGCGUGAGGGAUGGAGGCCUUCGGGUUGUGAAACUCUUUCUCCGGUGGGGAAGGCCCUGUCCGUUGCGGCGGGGUUGACGGUAGCCGGGUAUGAAGCGCCGGCUAACUACGUG
This 499-nucleotide ribosomal RNA is filed under the name uncultured bacterium. Its description in RNAcentral is "partial 16S ribosomal RNA". It matches the Rfam family "Bacterial small subunit ribosomal RNA", at positions 28 to 507 of the family's 1533-position model. The record is from RNAcentral.